This 497-nucleotide ribosomal RNA is filed under the name uncultured bacterium. RNAcentral's name for it is "partial 16S ribosomal RNA". It matches the Rfam family "Bacterial small subunit ribosomal RNA", at positions 28 to 507 of the family's 1533-position model. The record is from RNAcentral.
GAUGAACGCUGGCGGCGUGCCUAAUACAUGCAAGUCGGGCGAACGGACGAGAAGCUUGCUUCUCUGAUGUUAGCGGCGGACGGGUGAGUAACACGUGGAUAACCUACCUAUAAGACUGGGAUAACUUCGGGAAACCGGAGCUAAUACCGGAUGAUAUUUUGAACCGCAUGGUUCAAAAGUGAAAGACGGUCUUGCUGUCACUUAUAGAUGGAUCCGCGCUACAUUAGCUAGUUGGUAAGGUAACGGCUUACCAAGGCAACGAUGCAUAGCCGACCUGAGAGGGUGAUCGGCCACACUGGAACUGAGACACGGUCCAGACUCCUACGGGAGGCAGCAGUAGGGAAUCUUCCGCAAUGGGCGAAAGCCUGACGGAGCAACGCCGCGUGAGUGAUGAAGGUCUUCGGAUCGUAAAACUCUGUUAUUAGGGAAGAACAUAUGUGUAAGUAACUGUGCACAUCUUGACGGUACCUAAUCAGAAAGCCACGGCUAACUACGUG